CCUACGGGUGGCAGCAGUGGGGAAUAUUGCACAAUGGGGGAAACCCUGAUGCAGCGACGCCGCGUGAGUGAAGAAGUAUUUCGGUAUGUAACGCUCUAUCAGCAGGGAAGAAAAUGACGGUAACUGAUUAAUAAGCCCCUGCUAACUACGUGCCAGCAGCCGCGGUAAUCCGUAGGGGGCAAACGUUAUCCGGCUUUACUGGGUUGAAAGGGACCGUAGACGGCAGCACAAGUCUGGAGUGAAAUGCAGGGGGUUAACCCCGGAACUGCUUUGGAAACUGUGCAGAUAGAGUGCAGGAGAGGUAAGUGGAAUUCCUAGUGUAGCGGUGAAAUGCGUAGAUAUUAGGAGGAACACCAGUGGCGAAGGCGGCUUACUGGACUGUAACUGACGUUGAGGCUCGAAAGCGUGGGGAGCAAACAGGAUUAGAUACCCGGGUAGUC
This 440-nucleotide ribosomal RNA is filed under the name uncultured bacterium. RNAcentral describes it as "partial 16S ribosomal RNA". It matches the Rfam family "Bacterial small subunit ribosomal RNA", at positions 338 to 795 of the family's 1533-position model. The record is from RNAcentral.